GACGAACCGUGCGAACGUUGUUCGGAAUAACUGGGCUUAAAGGGCGCGUAGGCGGGCUAUCAAGUCUGGGGUGAAAUGCCGCGGCUCAACCGUGGAACUGCCUCAGAUACUGACGGCCUCGAGGGAGGUAGGGGCAUGCGGAACUGUAGGUGGAGCGGUGAAAUGCGUUGAUAUCUACAGGAACUCCGGUGGCGAAAGCGGCGUGCUGGACCUCUUCUGACGCUGAGGCGCGAAAGCUAGGGGAGCAAACGGG
Molecule: ribosomal RNA, 253 nt
Filed under: uncultured bacterium
Lineage: Bacteria
Description: partial 16S ribosomal RNA
Rfam family: Bacterial small subunit ribosomal RNA
Source: RNAcentral